CAUAGACAGUGUUCAGAUCUUGUUUUCUAACGCCAUUCUCUGCUAACAGGAACCAGGGUCCUUGGGCAAAUGUCUGAUUCUAGAUCUAAAGCAGGAAGUACACUAGAAUAUCAAGAGAAGAACAUGAGAUGAAGCCCUGUCGGGGAACAUUCUACAUCUUAAAACUGUCAGGGUCAUGCAAGACAAGGACCACCUGAGACACAAUGACAGACAGGAGGGGCUGAAGGAAACGUGAUGUUUUCACAUGUUAUCCUAGAUGCAUUCUUGGCUGAGGAAAGGCUACUUCUAGAGUUGGACUGACUGACAGGUGCAUUGGAGUGUUCCCGACCCACCUCCUUGAAGAAGUGCUCCUGUGUCCCCUGAGAGCCCCUGUGCCGGAGAAGGGGUCCUGUGCCAGCAGAGGCCAUGAGUGGCCAGGCAGCUGCCUAUACUGGAACUGCACUUCAUUUGCCCAUUUCUGAUUCCCUGUGUCUCUGAAACUGAAAAAAAUUCAUCUUUCCUGGUACCUUGU
This is a long non-coding RNA of Ochotona princeps (American pika), 511 nucleotides long. RefSeq lists it as uncharacterized. The transcript has 3 exons. NCBI's taxonomy places the organism in Eukaryota, Metazoa, Chordata, Mammalia, Lagomorpha, Ochotonidae. The record is from RefSeq and is a predicted model, not a curated record.